GCUGUCGCCAGCUCAAUCAGCGCCCAGGUGGCCCUGAUAAGAGGGCUGUGGGCCAGAAGCUGAAGGAGUCUCACACUAGCUCUGGAGUGGGAAGGACCUAGCUACCUGGGAACCAGGUUUGUACUGCUGCAGCCAUCAUGAGGUGAUGCUUUCUCAUCUGGCAACAGGACAUACCCACCAAACUGAACAGGCUGUUUCCUUCAUGCUACCUCAGUGUACAUUCAGUUACUGUGCUGUGUAGCAGGGAGACAUCACAGAAAGACCACUCUGAGGAAAAUUCCAGAAGAAAAUAUGAAAACCAGAUUUCCCUUGUUUCCUCCUGGCUACGCUCAGAAAUUCAUUCUUUUCCCCACAUCCCCACCCUGCCUCCACAAAUCACCUGCUUCUAGACAGAUGACAGACACAUCCUUUCAAGCCUCCUUGAGAUGGUUCCUGACUCAUGUGGAGACAGAAGGCCUCAGAACUGUGAACCUUCCUGGAGUCAGAGGAGGAGCAGCAGAGAAUAACUGGCACUGAGGUUGCCUGCUUUUCCACUGGGGCUCUCUCAGUAGCCAGUAGAGGGAGAUGUUUCUCUCUCGAGUGAACAACCUGUGUUUGCUUCAGUUGCUACUAAGACAAAAGGCCCUUUUGGAGACACAGCCGCAGGCAGUAAACACAUCUGCCCCUUGACCCUUUCCUGAAAAUGGUCAUUGGACAAAUGUCCAGUUUCCCAUUGGUCUAGUCUAGACCUGGUAAGAGAGAGGAUACAAUGUGCUGGGAGAGUGUAGGAUGGUGGAUGACUGUCCUUAUGUCCAGCACAGGACCCCAAAUUCUUCUUGUUACUCCUGCAUACCGAAGGCAUAAUAAUAGGUACUUGGCCCAGGAGGAGAGCUGCCUCUUGCUCAGUUAUAUAUCUUUCCCUCAUGCACAUCUUCGCCACUCCCCUUUUUUGCUGCCGUAGGAUCUGGCCUAUAACUCACCAGCUUACACAUCCUGUUGUACUCAUAUAAUGAAUUAAUGAAAAAAAACUACAUGGAAUGUGGACCUGCUGAGCUGACUCUCUUCAAAAAAAAAAAAAAAAAAAAAGCCCAUUCAGGGAGAGAAAAUAUAUACAGGAUACUAUCAAAAAUUCUUCAGAUUUCUCUUACUGUUGCUCUGUAUUUAUUUCACUGAAGAAUGUGAUUAUCCACUACAUACAAACUACUGUUUUUGCUUCUCACGUGAGAUGUGGCCACAUUGUGCAGUGCAACAAAGAAAGUACAAGGCACCUGUGUAACUGCAUAGGUGUCUUCUAUGCGCAUUGGGAAAUACAGCCAGCAGAUACCAUAAUAAUGUCCCAACAUUAGAAAAAAACAAUUUUUUGGCAAAUUGUGACUGAUUUAUAGGAGUAACAAAUCUAUAUUUAGUUUGUAGUUUUUAAAAAUAGUUUCCUUGUGAAUCAUAUCCAGUGUUGCCCCCUUUUUGAAGUCCCUGGUUCCCAGGAAGGAACUCCCAGCUACUGUGGAAGAACUCUCAGGUCCACUAUCCCUUCUGCAAACAGUUUUCAGCACCACAAGAAUUGCAAAUGUUGGGUAUUGUAACUAAGCCUGGCACCCCUGAGGUUAUAUGGUGCUCUCUGGGCCAGAUCUGGUACCUCAUGAAGUCAUUCCAUCAGGCUCCCUGUCCACACACUGGUCUUCAGAAGGAUGGCCUGGUGGCUAGAGCAUUAGCCUGUGACUCAGGAGAGCUGGAUUCAAUUCUCUGCUUCCACAGACUUCCUGUAUGAUCUUGGGCAGGUCACUUAAGGUAAAAUUUUCAAAAGCACCUACCUGACUAAGGAGCCUAACUCCCUUAAGUAGACAGCUGCUUCUUUGUAGCACCAUUUGGUGGAGGAUUGCAGUCCCUGUUGCUCUCGAGCAAUAAUUCAGUUACCCCCUGGUCCUUAGCCUCCUCCAAUGUGAGAGUUCACUUUCCUUCUCUCUGGGAACCCGAUAGUUCAUAAAUCCAGUAUAAACCACCAUAUCUAAUUCCAGGAAUCUUAAAUAAAAGCAGGGUUUAUUUGGCAGGAGGGCAGAAAAUAAAGAGAGCAUUGAAAGGCAUGUGAAGCAGAAUUUAGGCCCUGAUUCAGCAAAGCUCUCAAACACAUGCUUUGCUGGAUGGAUUUAAGCAAAUGCUUUGCUCAAUCAGUGCCAUAAGCAUCUAGAUAAAUCCUUAAAAUAAGUCCAGCUAAACCAGCUCUAGCCUUAAGUGCAUAGACUAAUGUAUAAACAAGAUGAAAACCUUUCAGAUUGGAAUGUCCUUGUUCUGACUCACAGCACCAUGCUGUCGGUCAGCUCAGUUUUCCAGCUACUCUCUCACAUAGUUUAUCUGUCAAGGUAUGUCAUGUCCCAGUAUUUCCCACAUCCAUCUUGUCUUUGAUCUGGAAAUGAAGUGUUUACCCACUUUAAUACCUUAUAGUUGUCCUUUUAAAUCCCUGCUCAACAAGGACCUGAUCCUGCCUGGUGCAGACCAUUCUUGUCCUGAUCUAGCGAAGCACUUAAACAUCGACUUUGGUGGUUCACGGGCACGUGCUUAAAUUUAAACAUGUGCUAGACUGGGGGCAAAAUGUUCAACAGCUGGUCAAGUUGAGCCCUGCUACUAUAGGUUUGUGUCAGUUCCCAAGCACAGUUAUUUUUGUAUAUAAUGCAAGUGUUUCUCUCAUUGUUUUAUGUUAGAUUUUAGUUUAUUCUCCUGGUUCGGUUUAUAAGAUUUAAAUCCCAUAAAAGUUCCUUCCCACAUGCACACAUAAUUUAGCCAAAGACA
Molecule: long non-coding RNA, 2760 nt
Organism: Chelonia mydas (Green sea turtle)
Lineage: Eukaryota; Metazoa; Chordata; Testudines; Cheloniidae
Exons: 4
Source: RefSeq, a predicted model, not a curated record